CUGAACACCUUAGACAAGGGAGUUAGAGUUAUGCUAGGCUAUUCCAAGUGUUGGAAUGCUAAUGUAUACAAGAACUUGAGAAGUUAGUGUGUAAAAGCGUGAAAAAGCUAGGUUUAAAGGGUCAAAACCCAAUCUAUGCUUUGCAAACCUAAAGGAAUGCUAAAACUAGUUCUAAAUAAAUAUAAUUCAAGUGUUGGAAUGAACCAAAGUGGCUAGAAGUGAAAUUGGC
RNAcentral lists this long non-coding RNA (229 nucleotides) under Panax ginseng (ginseng). RNAcentral describes it as "long non-coding RNA (PGIN_LNC014813)". The record is from RNAcentral. Lineage: Eukaryota; Viridiplantae; Streptophyta; Magnoliopsida; Apiales; Araliaceae.